Molecule: long non-coding RNA, 1239 nt
Filed under: Monodelphis domestica (gray short-tailed opossum)
Lineage: Eukaryota; Metazoa; Chordata; Mammalia; Didelphimorphia; Didelphidae
Description: lncRNA (ENSMODG00000045656.1)
Source: RNAcentral
AGUCUCUCUCUUGAGCUACAGUGCUGCAUCAUCAACUGCCUAUUGGACUCCUCAAUCUAGAUAUUUUUUUGUUCCUGAAUUGAAGAACACAGGACUACAAGCAAGAGUGACAGCAGACAAGAGUGGCAUGCUGACCAGAUGACGAAGGACACGCAGAGUUUCUACAAUCAACAUCAAAGGACAUGGAAGGACUUUGAAAGUUUGGACUUGUGAUCAUGAAGUUAUGAGGAUGAAUGAGAAGAGUAUCUGAGCAAUCAGCAAAGUCAUCAGCACUACUAGAAAAAUAGCAACUUCGACAAAUUCGCCUGACAGUAAGUCCUGGACAACCUUUAUAUAUUAAGCUCCCCAUUGUUUGCACCAAAAUAUCCUCAGCAAUUACCAACCAGCCUACCUCAUGCAGAGACACUUGUCACCAGGAAGUUAGCCAAUGGAUGGACUUUGGGAGCUGAAAGGUGUGGAGAGAAAGAUGAUAACAGAUCUCAAAAACCAUCUACCAAGUACUGCAAAGAAUAGAAUAUAACAAAAAUGGACCUAAACUGCAGCAAGAGAGCUACAGGCUUUGCUUUAUUACUCAAAAUGAUUACUACGAAGGGGUGACAACUACAGACCUACUCACCACUGACACCAGAGAGAGAGACAAAGGCAGAAUCAAUUUACAGCCUCAACCUGAACUAGUCCACAAGAAGUUAAUUUCCCCUGGACAGCUCCUUUCAAUCUCUUUAUGUCCAUCACCACCACUCCCAUUUUUUUGUCCUGAGGCACUCCAAGUAGUAACCAGUGUCAGUAUUCACUCUGGGUGAACAAGACAUUAUUUCCUUAAUAACUUCCAUCUUGUGGGACUUAGAGCUGGGGAGAACCUUGGAGGUCAUUGAGCCCAAACCCUUUAUUUUAUAGAUGGGGAAAGCAGAGAAGUAGUGAUUGACUUAAGAGUCACACAACCUGGGAGUGCUUGAGGUGGAAUUCAAACCCAGGUCUUCCUGAUUCCUCAUAAUACAAAAAAGAUCUAUGAUCUCAGCUGAGUGACCUCCUUCACCAACAGAGGAGAAUCUCUAUAUGACUUAGCCAACACCCAAGGUGCAUAAAAGUGAAAUGACUUGUUCAGGGUCACAUCUAGUACAUGUCAGAGGUGGGGUUUUGUACUCAGUUCUUCCUAAUUGCUUCUAGGCACUCUAAUCAUGCUGCAUCAAGACAUAUAGCAGAUGUCUAAUAAAUAUUGAUGAGUUGAUUACUAUGUUCUCA